This 422-nucleotide ribosomal RNA is filed under the name uncultured cyanobacterium. RNAcentral's name for it is "bacterial SSU rRNA". It matches the Rfam family "Bacterial small subunit ribosomal RNA", at positions 358 to 795 of the family's 1533-position model. The record is from RNAcentral. Lineage: Bacteria; Bacillati; Cyanobacteriota.
GGAAUUUUCCGCAAUGGGCGAAAGCCUGACGGAGCAACGCCGCGUGAGGGAUGAAGGCCUCUGGGCUGUAAACCUCUUUUCUCAAGGAAGAAGAUCUGACGGUACUUGAGGAAUAAGCCACGGCUAAUUCCGUGCCAGCAGCCGCGGUAAUACGGGAGUGGCAAGCGUUAUCCGGAAUUAUUGGGCGUAAAGCGUCCGCAGGCGGCCUUGUAAGUCUGUCGUUAAAGCGUGGAGCUUAACUCCAUUUCAGCGAUGGAAACUACAAGGCUUGAGUGUGGUAGGGGCAGAGGGAAUUCCCGGUGUAGCGGUGAAAUGCGUAGAUAUCGGGAAGAACACCAGUGGCGAAGGCGCUCUGCUGGGCCAUAACUGACGCUCAUGGACGAAAGCCAGGGGAGCGAAAGGGAUUAGAUACCCCAGUAGUC